AGAGUUUGAUCCUGGCUCAGGAUGAACGCUGGCUGUGUGCCUAAUACAUGCAUGUUGAACGAAGCUAAAAGUGCUUGCACUUUAAGACUUAGUAGCGAAUGGGUGAGUAACACGUACUUAACCUACCCCCAAGUUUGGGAUAACGUUUGGAAACGAACGCUAAUACCGAAUACGUAUUUUUAUCGCAUGAUAGAAAUAUAAAAGGAGCUUCGGCUUCGCUAGGGGAUGGGAGUGCGCUACAUUAGUUAGUUGGUAGGGUAAUGGCCUACCAAGACUAUGAUGUAUAGCGGGGCCGAGAGGCUGAUCCGCCACACUGGGACUGAGAUACGGCCCAGACUCCUACGGGAGGCAGCAGUAGGGAAUUUUCCACAAUGAACGAAAGUUUGAUGGAGCGACACAGCGUGCAGGAUGAAGGUCUUCGGAUCGUAAACUGCUGUUAUAAGAGAAGAAAAAAUUUGGGAGGUAAUGCCCAAAUCUUGACGGUACCUUAUCAGAAAGCGACGGCUAACUAUGUGCCAGCAGCCGCGGUAAU
Molecule: ribosomal RNA, 532 nt
Filed under: uncultured bacterium
Lineage: Bacteria
Description: bacterial SSU rRNA
Rfam family: Bacterial small subunit ribosomal RNA
Source: RNAcentral